CCAAAAAUCUGUGGGCUAUCUGUACAUUCAGGGACAAAAGUUGGUGAGCUUAUCGCUAACAUGGACCCAUCUUUAGAGCAAACUCCCCCUAAAAAAGUCCCAUUGUCUGUACUCAAACAAAUAUUGGCAUAGCUGGAGGAUAAGAGCAAGAAAAAAGAUAAAGCCUAGCCAACAUAACAAUCAGCAAUGGCAUAAAAACAUAGCUCCCACAUUAAUUGCAACGCCACUUUGGGUCAAGCAAAUGAGAGAUUUUAAGCCAUAUGGGGUCUUUAAUGGUUGGUUGGGACUCUCCUGUCCCAGAUCCUAAAUCACGUAAAUCAUCUAGCUUUUCCAUUUUAAUUGUCUUGUAGUUGGUGAUUUCUAAUAAGCGAAACUGGGUCGGCAGUAAAAUACAGGAAGAAUUGGCCAUUCACCAAGGGAGAGAUUGAUGCUUACUGGAAAUUAAAGAAGAAAAUAGAGGAGGAACAUCUCAGAGCAAUUCAGGUUUAAUUCUGCAACAUUUUUCACAAUAUUGAAGUCUGUUUGAUUCCAGGAAUACUAAAUAUGAUGACGACUGUGGAACGAAGCUUGAGAGAUCAAGCUUCUACCCGAGGCCAACACAAUGGGGAGUCUCAUGGACGUGGAAACUGGAAAAAGCUUGGAGGAACUCAUAAAGAAAAAUGGCUGGUGUAGUAGGAGCAACUGGGAAUUUCUAAACGAACCUCCUGUGUUGGAACGCUCUUCCAACACCUACACUGCGCAGUUUCACAUUGCCAAACUCGAAAACAAACAAUACUGCAAUUAGUGCUUAACGUUAGCUCUGCUUGCUAUAUAUAUGAAUGUAUAGAUUUAGAAUUUAAGCUACACUACCAACAGUGGUACAUUAAGAUGGUGUAAGCUGUAAAAUGAAUGUGUGUAAUGAGUAGAUUUUCUUGUAUCA
Hevea brasiliensis (rubber tree) is the source of this 919-nucleotide long non-coding RNA. RefSeq lists it as uncharacterized. The record is from RefSeq and is a predicted model, not a curated record. The transcript has 2 exons. NCBI's taxonomy places the organism in Eukaryota, Viridiplantae, Streptophyta, Magnoliopsida, Malpighiales, Euphorbiaceae.